RNAcentral lists this ribosomal RNA (492 nucleotides) under uncultured bacterium. RNAcentral describes it as "partial 16S ribosomal RNA". It matches the Rfam family "Bacterial small subunit ribosomal RNA", at positions 29 to 507 of the family's 1533-position model. The record is from RNAcentral.
AGUGAACGCUGGCGGUAGGCCUAACACAUGCGAGUCGAACGGCAGCACAGUAAGAGCUUGCUCUUACGGGUGGCGAGUGGCGGACGGGUGAGGAAUACAUCGGAAUCUACUUUUUCGUGGGGGAUAACGUAGGGAAACUUACGCUAAUACCGCAUACGACCUACGGGUGAAAGCAGGGGAUCUUCGGACCUUGCGCGAUUGAAUGAGCCGAUGUCGGAUUAGCUAGUUGGCGGGGUAAAGGCCCACCAAGGCGACGAUCCGUAGCUGGUCUGAGAGGAUGAUCAGCCACACUGGAACUGAGACACGGUCCAGACUCCUACGGGAGGCAGCAGUGGGGAAUAUUGGUCAAUGGGCGCAAGCCUGAUCCAGCCAUACCGCGUGGGUGAAGAAGGCCUUCGGGUUGUAAAGCCCUUUUGUUGGGAAAGAAAAGCAGCAGGUUAAUACCCCGCUGUUCUGACGGUACCCAAAGAAUAAGCACCGGCUAACUUCGUG